Trichonephila clavipes is the source of this 73-nucleotide non-coding RNA. NCBI's taxonomy places the organism in Eukaryota, Metazoa, Arthropoda, Arachnida, Araneae, Nephilidae. The record is from the annotation of a GenBank genome assembly.
GUCCUUGUAGUGCCGUGGAUAGUGCGUUGAACAACUAAUUCAACGGUCGAGGCUUCAAAUCCCACCUAGGAUG